UACGUACGGGAGGCAGCAGUGAGGAAUAUUGGUCAAUGGACGGAAGUCUGAACCAGCCAAGUAGCGUGCAGGAUGACGGCCCUCCGGGUUGUAAACUGCUUUUAGUUGGGAAUAAAAGAGGGACGUGUCCCUUAUUGUAUGUACCUUCAGAAAAGGACCGGCUAAUUCCGUGCCAGCAGCCGCGGUAAUCGUA
This 193-nucleotide ribosomal RNA is filed under the name uncultured bacterium. Its description in RNAcentral is "partial 16S ribosomal RNA". It matches the Rfam family "Bacterial small subunit ribosomal RNA", at positions 337 to 529 of the family's 1533-position model. The record is from RNAcentral.